GAUGAACGCUGGCGGCGUGCUUAACACAUGCAAGUCGAACGGAAAGGCCCACGCUUGCUUGGGUACUCGAGUGGCGAACGGGUGAGUAACACGUGGGUGAUGUGCCCUGCACUUCGGGAAAAGCCUGGGAAACUGGGGCUAAUACCGGAAAGGACCACAUGUUGUAUGGUGUGGUGGAAAGUUUUUCGGUGUGGGCUGAGCUCGCGGCCGAUGAGCUUGCUGGUGGUGUAAUGGCCUACGAAGGCGUCGACGGGUAGGCGGCCUGAGAGGUUGUACGUGAACAAUGGGACAGAGUUACAGCCCAGGCAGCUGCGGGGGGCAGCGGUGGAGGAUCUUGCACAAGGGGCGGCAGCCUGGUGCAGCGAAGCCCCGUGUGGGAGUAGGGCCUUCGUGUUGUAAGCGCGUUUCGCAAGGGGCGAGGCGGUAUGUGACGGUACCUGGAGAAGAAGCACCGGCUAACUACGUG
RNAcentral lists this ribosomal RNA (466 nucleotides) under uncultured bacterium. RNAcentral's name for it is "partial 16S ribosomal RNA". It matches the Rfam family "Bacterial small subunit ribosomal RNA", at positions 28 to 507 of the family's 1533-position model. The record is from RNAcentral.